CAAUGUCACUACCGGCAAAGAGAUGUGGUAGACCCCCUGUACUGUCCUGCUUGGAAAAGAAAAAGAGGAAGCAAAGUCUCGAUAGAAGAAGAGGGAAAACAAGAAUCUAUGUGGGAAAUCAUAUUGAUAGAUGGUUGACGCUUAAGGAAAAAUUGGAUUUCAGAAAUGAUGCAGAAGUUGCAGGAUUUUUACUAGAUUUAUAUGACAACUAUGACCCAUUGUCAAAAGCAUCAAUAUGUUCCCUGCCUGAAGAUGUGAGAAGAAUUACAGUGAAAGGGGAAAGAGAGUUGCCAGAUGACACUUCUUUAAUAGCAGCGGAUGGAACGUAUGACAAUGAUGACCAGUUGUCUAAAGAAUCUACUUGUUCUGGACCCGAAGAUGUAAGAAUCAUAACUGUGAAAGAAGAGAGGGAUUUGCCUGAUGACUGUUCAACUGAGACUGAUGACACUGCUGUGUUCUUCGAGGCAACCACACCAUCAGUCGACUCUACUGAUUUCUUUUACUGCAAUACCAACAAUAACUGAGGCAUUCACAGUUGAGAUCAAAGGAGCCUCAAAUAGGGGACACUGAGAGCCUAGGACAUUACAAUGGCAUUGCAUGGUGUGUCCAAACCCCUCGCUAAUAUGGUGAAAUUAACUAACUGGAGUUUCUGAAAGUGAGUCCUCUUGUGAUUCAGAAGAAUGUUUGGAAAAACGGAGUGAAUUGCAAAAUCAGUGAAGUGGAUAAAUUCAAGUACAUUCAAGUUGGCAUCUUAUUCUGACAACAGAACUUCAGUUUGCUUUAGAAAGCAGCAAGGAUCUAAGAUUGACUUUGUGAGAUUGAUAUAUCAUGGGCUGGCCAACAAGAAGAAUAUCAAGCGUUUACAUAAUGGUGCUGAGACAUUUUUGAUCCCUUCUGGUUUUGCUGUGAGGAUGUUAUUUAUUAUGGAGAACUUAUUGUAAGUUGUAGUAUAAAAUUCCAUGUUAAUUGUCAAG
Molecule: long non-coding RNA, 974 nt
Organism: Emys orbicularis (European pond turtle)
Lineage: Eukaryota; Metazoa; Chordata; Testudines; Emydidae
Exons: 7
Source: RefSeq, a predicted model, not a curated record